RNAcentral lists this ribosomal RNA (253 nucleotides) under uncultured bacterium. Its description in RNAcentral is "partial 16S ribosomal RNA". It matches the Rfam family "Bacterial small subunit ribosomal RNA", at positions 524 to 776 of the family's 1533-position model. The record is from RNAcentral.
UACGUAGGUGUCAAGCGUUGUCCGGAUUUAUUGGGCGUAAAGCGCCCGCAGGCGGCUUGCCAAGUUCGAUGUGAAAUCUCCCGGCUCAACUGGGAGGGUGCAUCGAAAACUGGCAGGCUUGAGGCAGGGAGAGGGAUGUGGAAUUCCAGGUGUAGUGGUGAAAUGCGUAGAUAUCUGGAGGAACACCGGUGGCGAAGGCGGCAUCCUGGACCGGUAUCGACGCUGAGGCGCGAAAGCCAGGGGAGCAAACGGG